UGCAGCACAACUCUUGGCCCAUUGGCCAUCCACUCUCACAAAUCCCAUCCUCCUAAGAGAGUGGUUGUUGUAGGUGUCAGUGUAUGAUAGCCUACAAACAGCCUCUCCAUCAAAAUUGACUCCAUCCUCUCUAAAGAUAACUGUGAGGGCCAUACCAUAGGGCAAGGGAGCCUUGGACCUGUUCAAGGCUUCCCUUAUAGCAU
Molecule: long non-coding RNA, 203 nt
Filed under: Elaeis guineensis (African oil palm)
Lineage: Eukaryota; Viridiplantae; Streptophyta; Magnoliopsida; Arecales; Arecaceae
Description: long non-coding RNA (EGUI_LNC051534)
Source: RNAcentral